CAGGAAGCGGUGACAGCUGUGACGAAGGCUCAGCCGAAAUUGUCCGCCAGACCAGAUGGAUGGCUAAGCUCAAGUCUCAUCGCUGAAGGUCAUGGCCAGUUUGCAUCUCUGGAAUAAAGAAACAGAGAAAGCAAAGAAUUUGACUGUGUGACUAAUGCACUGAAGCCAAAAGAGAAUGCAACCAGAGGAACUUUACUCACAGUGGCAGCAGCGUGUCAACUGGUAAGUAUGGUUUCUUUUUAUUUCUAACAUUAGAUGUUUAGCUACGCUACCUCCGUUUAGCUUUCCAUUUCAACGGAGUAUUGCACCAUCGUCCUGCAGUGUGAAGCCAUACUUAUAUCUAAUAUAGUGCUUUGUAAGUUGUGCACACCUCCCUCUGCUUCUGUCUCAGAUUGAUUAUUGCAAAUGGUGCACAAAGGCCACAAGACCCAAAAGAAGACACCGAGAUGUGCGCAAGUUGAAUAUGUUCUACUCUUGCGGUUAAUUUGGGAGAAAGCGUUCAAAGGGUUCCUUGUCGUCACACAAACAACCUGCGCUGUUCACUUUUGGUUUUGUAUUCACCACCAUUUUCCCUCAGCCACUCAUCUCCAGGUCAUCGACCUCUUCCCAGUUCUGAACACAUUCUAACCUGCCACUUUUAAAGACUGUAUGUCUUCUCGCUGCAAAACACACAAAUCUUUAUGGCUAUAGGAGAAUCACUGGAGUCAAUCAAGUGUAUGUGUGUGAAACAACCACAUCAUUUCAUUUCCUCUAUAUUGGCAUUUGACAAAAGACCCUUUGAUGAAAUCUUGAGACAUGCUGAAGAAGAGCCGAUCGCUCGUUGGCAGUGGCGCUCUCCUUGGUGCUGAAGUCCACUACACCGUCAACAUGCUUCCCUCACGCAGGAACCCUUGCGUUUACGUCAGACGAAUGCAAUCCCUCUCUGUCUGUCUGUCUUUAUUUUCCUUUGGGUAAAUGCUGGUUGUGCUGUUGUUACUUUUGCUGGACGCAUCCGAAUGUGCUUAAAGGAAAAUGGAACUUAACAGAGCUAUCAGAUGAUUCCACGCUUGAAGCCUUGUCCGUGGGGCAAAGUUGCUUGACAAAUAAAAGACAAUUCCUCCCUGGAUUCCUCUCAUUGCUUUACCCCCUAACUUUCAAAGAGACGCUAUUCCUGAGACGCUCGCCCGAGGUCGUCGAGGAGGGCUUCCCGCAGCGGGAUCCCACCUCCCGCCGCAGACCUUCUGUGGACACGAGGGGCCGCCUCUCUCUGCUACACGUCACUGGAGGCCCGCGGUCUGUGCAAGAGAUUGGAAGGGACGCAGCCGCAGCAGGCCAUCCACAGCGACUUCUGGAUGUCCGGGUUUCGGAAGGCGUAAAUGACGGGGUUGAUGACGGAGCUGCAGGUGGCGGGAAGCACCGUCGCGUAGGUGUAGACGGCCGGGUAGCUGGAGUCCGCCACGAUGGAGUACAUGGCGAACGGCAGCCAGCACGCCCCGAAGGCACACAGGAUGGCCGAUAGGGUGGAGACGCCCUUGGUGGUGGAGAUGGCCACGAACUGGUGCUGCACCGCGAUCUGCUGCGCGUGGCGGAAGGCGAUCUUGCAGAUCUGCAGGUAGAGCUGCAUCAUGAGGGCGAAGACCAGCAGAAAGGCGACAGCGAGCGCCACCGCGUUGCUUUUGGUGACCGGCCUGCAGAUGCUGCACGCUGACUCGUCUCGCAGGCAGUUCCAGCCCAGCGCCGGCAGCAGACCCAGAGUCACGCACGACAGCCAGAUGAAGAGCACCAUCACAUAGGUGAACGUCAGCGUCCGCUCGGUGUGGUAGGUCAGUGCGUUGUACAGCGACAGGUAGCGGUCCACCGUGAUGGCCAGGAUGUUGAGGACGGAGGCCGAGAAGGCCGAGACCAGCAGUGCCGCCGACAGGAGGCUCACAGGCUCCGGCGAGCCGGCCGCCAAGUAGGUGAAGACGAAGUUCAAGACGAGGCCCAGACCGGCCAGCAGGUCCGCCGCCGCCAGCGAGCCAAUCAGAACGAACAUGGGCGCCCUCAGCGUCGGCGUGUAGAAAAGCACCGCGAUGACCAGCGCAUUCUCACAGGAGAUGAGUGUCCCCGUCACACACAGCGCCAUGUGCCACAGGCUCACCUCCGGCGCAGCCGGCUGCAGCUCGGGGGUCAUCCGCACCGCCGGCUCCCAGGAAGAGUUGGACAGCUCCUCCGAGAGGCCCCACGAGGACGACGGCGACAAGGGUGUGGAUGCGUCCACGGGGUCCACGGAGGAGGAGUUGAGGCCGCUCAUGGCUGCCGCCGCCGCCAGCGUCAGGAUCAUGACUGCAGGAGGAGGUGGAAAGGAAGGGGGGAAGCUUGAGAAGCUGACGCCAAAAGCAUGGUGGGAUUGGGGAAAAAUGAAAUGAAGGAGGCAGACAUCCAAUUCGCCUCAUCACCGUCCCCAUCCUCUCAUUCAUUCAUGUGGUCACUCAUUCACUAAAAGCAGCACACACAAGUCAUUCUUCCAUUUGAACGCACACAAAAAAUCGACAUACCGACAAAGGCUUCAGUCUGACGACUUCUGUUCCUCAUCCUGCCCAGGCAAGCAUUAUCAACGAACUCUAUUUUUAGAGCACCUCUAAAAUUGGUGCAUGACGUCCUGGGGCAGGCGCGAUGCUCGAGCUGUGCGUGUGUGCAAUUUAUAGAAGCCCUUCUAAAUCAUUAUCUUCUUAUGAUGAUGAUGAUGAUGCAGUCUGGGAAUUAAAAAAGAAAAUCUGGCUAAUUUUAGCUCAGCGGGCCAAAAACUAUCCGACGCUCCAUUCACAAGAAAAAGAAGAAAAAAGGCUAGCCACCCGCACACCCACCACCCUCCCACCGCCUGCUCCUCCCCCUCUUCUGUCUGAUUCUUGGAAGGUCACCACCGCCGACAAAGACCAUCCCCCCCCCACAUCACAUCCACCACCCCACCCACACUUCGGCUGCGGGGUGCACAGCACUGCAGUGAAAGGAAAAAAAAAAAAAAAAAGAAAGAAAAUGUCCAAAAUAGCCUUCCAGACUUGUCACCUCCAGCAAACCAGGGUUGGACAUGCAGCAGCAGUAACAGCAUACAUAAUAAUCAUAAUAAUAGAGUAGGAAGAAGUCACCUUUCAUUCAGAUGCAGCAGUGCAUGAGCGGAAGAGGAGGGGAGUAGGGGUGUGUGGGAUCGAGAUGGGAGUGCACGUCACACUGAAGAGGGGGGGGUAAAAAGGAAAAAGAUUACCAGCAGGAAAGCAGCAGCUCUUUCUCCUCCUCCUCUUCUCCUUUUUCUUGUGCACCCUCUUUAUCUAGGCAGUUAGCAUGGUACGCCUGGGCGCUUGACUGGCAUGGUUAGGAGACUGCCGUCUUCACGCCGCAUCCACAUCCUCCCUCCUCCACACUCGUGACGUCAACUAAAGUCUCUUCGGCACUCUCCUCCGGCCAGCGUCAUCGUGAAUCACGCCAGGCGGGGUGGAAACCAGCCAGUGAGUGAGCGCACACGCUGCUUCGUGGGCCUCAUUUAUCCUCGGCGCACAAGGAUGAUGAUGAUGAUAUGGAAAUAUUUAAUGGUAUGCACCUCACACACAAUGACGCACCAGAACAUUACGGAGAAGGUUAUUGGGAAAUUCCUGAUCCUAGAAAUGUAGCCACGACUAAACAUUGCACUAUUAGGCCGGAUGACCUUUCUUAAAUGUCGCCACAGGAGUUGAUGCAAUCUGGUGCAGCGCUCACACGCAAGACCAAUUUCAAUGCCAUCUUUGCUUUGUGUUGCCAAACUCAAAUGGACAAACGUUUUCAGUGACGCCCACACAAAAGCAUGCGUAAAUAUCCUUAAACAUGAAGCCCGCAUACAGAAAACGUACAAGUCAGUCACUCCACAUCUUCCUAGAAAAUGACUUUGUUGUAAACAAUGAAUGAGAACGUGGUCUUGAUCUGGAAAAAGAAACCAAAGACAGCAUUCUUUUAAAUGUGCCAUAUUUUACCAAACCAACUUUUUCUAGUAUUUGAGAUGUAACACUGGCUCUUCGUAAACGUGAAAUAUGAAUUAGAAUCAUCUACGCAUUCCUGAGCUCCAGACGUUUUUCUGCCGAGAGGACUGAAAUCAGCUCAUUGGAAUUUCUCAAGCUUAUCUACGUCACGAGGGAAGAUCUCCACCUACCUCUCUGCUCCCGAGCCAGUACUGUCAACAUAACAAACGUGCUCUCACAAGUGGUUCUUCAACAUGGAGGCAAACAAUCAGAGGAAAGGGGGGCGGUCUUAACCAAAUAUGGACAACGCGGAUACAAAACUGGGUUUAAACAGAAGUAGCUGUCAGUGGGCCCUUUUCUGGACAAACCAAAGUGUUUUUUUAAAAUGAAAUUGACACUUUUAUAAUAAGUCCAUGUUAGAGAAUCAGUCUACGGCAGUCUAAAUAGCCAAAAUAUGGGACCUUUACAUUUUGGAAAAGUCCGUUUGAACGCAGACCGUUUUGACAAUUUGUCGCUUUUUAUGCACUUGGCUUUUGUUUUCCUCAUUUUACUAGAAAGGUCGCUGAUUUGAAGACUAUGAAUAGGGUUCAUGACGUUCGCCGUACAUGGCGCAUACCCUUUGAAGACGUUAGGAAAAUAAACAGCAACCGGGGGUCGCACUUGACGGGUGUCACAUUGGGCGCAUAGAUUAUGGACAUUAUCUAAUUUGGACACAAAUCUCCGUCAGCACCCCACCGCCGUCCUCCUUUUGACAAUUGGCAAAGGGGCGCAAUUGCUGGCCAUCCCGCAGGGCGCCAUUCGGUCCAGGACCGCUAUGCCCGUGCGACUGGACUGACAAAGUGAGUGGUCCUUUUAUGUGUCCGCAACGCUCCCUGUGUGGCUGGUUUCUUUGUCACGUGACAAGAACAGCAGUUGUUGCCACGGAGGCCAUUCAAGAUGCUAGUCUGGAAGAGGACACAGAAGCUUCUAUUUUGUCGACCCACUGCGCAACUAUGGCGCUUGGGCACCCUUUCGCAACUUGAGUGUGAAAGUGCUAAAAGCAACAUAGCGCACCGAUCAAUUGUUGUCCAAUCAUUGCUGGUCCAUUGUUUGGAAUCUUCCGGAAGCCUCGUUGUGUUCAAGUUGCUUUCAAACACAGCUGCUCUGCCAUUGUCUGUAGAAGGUCGCCACGCUCGCCGUGACUCCCGGCCAUUUGCUCCCUCAAUCUGGUGUUGUCAUGGUAAUCAAUACACUGACCAGUCCAACACACACCACCGUCUUUGUUUGUUGCACUCUGCGUGUGUUAUUGUUAUUGAAUUGUCCUCGUGGAUUCCCUCAAGUGCUGACGUGCAGCCUGGCCGGCAUUUGUAGAUCAACAUGGCCGCCACGAGCAGAUUACUCAAACAGUGGUAUUUAUAGCUUCAAUAGAUGACGCAAGAGUGGACGGGGAUGUGUCUUCCUUCCCUCCUUGUUUUCAACACUUCCAUGGGUUCAGCAUGUGCCCAUGGAGGUCCAAAGGAGGAGCACCUCGGUGAGGUCCCCAUCCACCCAGCAGCUGCUCCUCACGGAGAUUAGUCUGUCUCGCUGAUCAAAAGGAAAAAUAUGUCUCCCCUUCAGAGGUGUUGCUCCCUAUUGGUGGAAGGCAACACUCGGUGGCAACACAGCAGCACACAUCAGGCCCACCUGCAAAUAAGCUCUACUGCUGCAUCCCUUCGUCUUCUCAUCUAUCACCGAGACGCUAAUCGGCGGAUCGAUAAGCCUUUGUUCCCUGUGGUCCAUUAAUGACCUUUCAAAAUGUAUGUGUGGACACAGUCAAUGAAGCGAUCACUCCUAAAACUAAAAUCCAUGCGCAGCUCCUUAUUUACACCAUAUGGUCUCCUUGUUUAGUAUCGGUGUGUGUUGUGGUGUUAAAAUGGAAUUGUUUCCCUGUGAGUUGGCUCUCCUGCCUGUGUUUUGACUUUUAACCACUAAGUGGCGAGAGGAGCAACGACGUGCAGUGGAUGCAAAUUGCAAUUAGCCCCCAACACCAGAUGAGGGUUGCCGAGACGACUGCCGUUUGCUGUACUGCAUCCUGUCUUGCUUCUGGUUUUGAGCGAUUCGUUUGAAACUUUUGCUUUUGGUUGUAUCCCUGGUUUCGAGAUCAUUCCUAGUUGUGCCGUCCUUCAUUGCAACCUUCCUAAACCACGUUACCCACGUAUUCUCCUUUUUGGGUUAGGGUAUUUUUAAGUAGCAUUGUAGUUUUCGGUCUUCGAUCCUUUUGUUUGUUGGAAUAUUACAUAAUGGUAUUCCCGAUGGCGGCCAGUCAGGGCCAUCAAGGCCUUCUGUGCUGACUUGACCCGAUCACAAACACUGGCUUACAUUUACAACCUAAAUUAUUUUUCAUUUUUUUUCAUUUAAGUUUUUCCCCAGCACUCUCUUCUCUUCGUUUGCUAGGGUUUCUCUAGGCUGCCGUGCUUCGAGUCCAUGUUUGUCCAAUCAGAUUUCAGUUUCUGCGUAUUGCCAUGCCAAUCUAAUCUUCCCCUACAAGGCCGUCACAAUCAGUAGUGCUGGCCCAUGGAAUGUACAACCCCAAUUCCAAUGAAGUUGGGAUGUUGUGUUAAACAUAAAUAAAAACAGAAUACAAUGAUAUGCAAAUCAUGUUCAACCUAUAUUUAAUUGAAUACACUACAAAGACAAGAGAUUUAAUGUUCAAACUGAUUAACUUUUUUUUCCAGCAAAUAUUCAUUCACUAAUAAUUUUAUGGCUGAAACACUUUCCAAAAAAGCGAGGACAGGUGGAAAAAAAGAAUGAGAAAGUUGAGGAAUGCUCAUCAAACACCCGUUUGGAACAUCCCACAGGUGAACAGGCUAAUUGGGAACAGGUGGGUGCCAUGAUUGGGUAUAAAAGGAGCUUGCCUGAAUUGCUCAGUCAUUCACAAGCAAAGAUGGGGUGAGGUUCACCUCUUUGUGAACAAGUGUAUGAGAAAAUACUCGAAGAGUUUAAGGACAAUGUUCCUCAACGUACAAUUGCAAGGAAUUAAGGGAUUUCAUCAUCUACGGUCCAUAAUAUCAUCAAAAGGUUCAGAGAAUCUGGAGAAAUCACUGCAUGUAAGCGCCAAGGCCAAAAACCGACAUUGAAUGCCCGUGACCUGUGUAAAGGAUAUCACCGCAUGGACUCAGGAACACUUCAGAAAACCAAUGUCAGUAAAUACAGUUCGGCGCUGCAUCCGUAAGUGCAACUUGAAACUCUACUAUGCAAAGCAAAAGCCAUUUAUCAACAAUACCCAGAAACGCCGCCGGUUUCUCUGGGCCCGAGCUCAUCUAAGAUGGACUGAUGCGAAGUGAAAAAGUGUUCGGUGGUCCGACAAAUCCACAUUUCAAAUUGUUUUUGGAAAUUGUGGUGUCGUGUCCUCCGGGCCAAAGAGGAAAAGAACCAUCCGGACUGUUAUGGACGCAAAGUUCAAAAGCCAGCAUCUGUGAUGGUAUGGGGCUGUGUUAGUGCCAAUGGCAUGGGUAACUUACACAUCUGUGAAGGCACCAUUCAUGCUGAAAGGUACAUAUAAGUUUUGGAGAAACAUAUGCUGCCAUCCAAACGACAUCUUUUUCACGGACACCCCUGCUAAUUUUAGCGAGACAAUACCAAACCACAUUCUGCACGUGUUACAACAGCGUGGCUUCGUAGUAAAAGAGUGCGGGUACUCGACUGGCCUGCCUGAAGUCCAGACCUGUCUCCCAUUGAAAAUGUGUGGCGUAGUAUGAAGCGUAAAAUACCACAACGGAGACCCCGGACUGUUGAACAGCUGCCGUGUGCUGUUAUAUUGCCUUUCUGUAUAGCAUUGUUGGCCUGUAUGAUGGCGUUAAUGUGAUACUGGUCCGAUUAAGAGGUGGAUUAAGUUGGGUCAGUCCCCACUGAAGGCCCAAGUACCAAAAUGCACAGCCUGCCACUGCCUUUUCCUACUCUUCAGUGCCGCUUUUUGUUGGACCAUUAUUCUCGUUUGCUAAUUUUGAAGUUAAGACUUGCUUACAUUCCACAACACAUUGUAGCUGGUUCAGGGAAAGCCAGUCUUCAAUCGUCACAGAAACAAAGCAAGUAUGAUGCAUGAUACCUCAUUUUCAAAUUCAUGUAAUACUGUCAAAAGGGGGCAGAAAUUGUGACCAAGUCUAAUUAUGUGCCAUAAUAAUGACAAUUAAAUGUUUGUUAUUUAGCAAAGUAAAGAACUGUAAAGGCUACUUGUUUUUAUUCAUCAGCAUGGUGUUGUCAAUGAUGUCAUUCAAAAGAGAAAAGGGGCUGCAGAAAUGGAUGCCAUGUGUUCGUAACUAAGAAAAAAAAAUUAAUACAUGGAUGUGCAAUAGUACACAUGCACGCCGAUAAUCACAACACUAUGAUUUCCCUCACCCACUUUGAGAUGUGGUCAUUAUCGUGCUGCUAUUUCUCUUUUAUUGUUCUGCACCAGGCGGCAUGGUGGAGGACUGGUUAAAGCGUCUCCCUCACAGUUCUGAGGUCUGGGGUUCGAUCCCCGGCACCGCCUGUGUGGAGUUUGCAUGUUCUCCCCGUGCCUGUGUGGGUUUUUUCUCCGGGUACUCCGGUUUCCUCCCACACCCAAAAGACAUGCGUGGUAGGUUAAUUGAUGACUCUAAAUUGCCCGUGAGUGUGAAUGGUUGUUUGUUUAUAUGUGCCCUGCGAUUGGCUGGCAACCAGUUCAGGGUGUACCCCGUCUCCUGCCCGAUGAUAGCUGGGAUAGGCUCCAGCACUCAUGCGACCCUUGUGAGGUGAAGCGGCUCAGAAAAUGGAUGGAUGGAUGGAUGUUCUGCACCAAAAGAGGCUAACCCAACACGAAAGAAUGGCCUGAACUGAUGUUUAUUUCAAGAGGGGAGUGCAAAACCUGCAUCUUCACCUUUGUUAGGGUAAACUCAGCCCAUGGAUAAAAGAUGUCAGUAAAUUUGCAGGUAAUUGGAGGGUUAAUAAUAAUUGCUCGGUGCAUUUGCAUCUGAUUGCUGUGUGCGCGUGUGCGCUCAACAGUUUAACCUGGGAACCGCAGCGACUGAAGCUUUCUAAUCUGUCUGUCUCUUAUCCCUCCUCUGCCCUGCCUCGCUGCCUGCCAUCUCCACGUCUCCCUCUCUCCCGCCUUCCUCUCUCCGUCCCUCCCUCCGUUCUUUCUACCUGAUCCAACUCGUUUCCGGCACCGCGAGCACCACCGCGGCUGCAGGGGAGGAGGAGGAGGA
Long non-coding RNA from Phycodurus eques (leafy seadragon), 9124 nucleotides. RefSeq lists it as uncharacterized. The transcript has 3 exons. The record is from RefSeq and is a predicted model, not a curated record. NCBI's taxonomy places the organism in Eukaryota, Metazoa, Chordata, Actinopteri, Syngnathiformes, Syngnathidae.